This 1321-nucleotide non-coding RNA is filed under the name Rhodomelopsis africana. RNAcentral describes it as "small subunit ribosomal RNA". It matches the Rfam family "Bacterial small subunit ribosomal RNA". The record is from RNAcentral. Lineage: Eukaryota; Rhodophyta; Florideophyceae; Ceramiales; Rhodomelaceae.
AAUAAAAAGAGUUUGAUCCUGGCUCCGAAUGAAUGCUUUUGGUUGAUCUUACACAUGCAAGUUAUUAAGUUUUUAAUAGCGUACGGGUGAGUAAUAUAUAAAAAUAAUUUUGCAAAAAAAUAGUUUAUACGAGAUUAAGUAAUAAUUAACUCAAAUUUUUAAAUUAGCUAAUAAUCUCUAGUUGAUCUUUGAGGAUGAUCAACCACAAUGGAAUUGAAAAAUGGUUCAUACUAAAUUUAGGCAGCAGUGAAGAAUAUUGGACAAUGAGAGUAAUCUUGAUCCAGUUAAACCAAUUAUGUGAAGAAGAUUUUUUAUUGUAAAACAUUAGAUAUUGAAAGAAUUGUGCUUUUCAAUAUUUUAGUCCUGGCUAAUUUCGUGCCAGCAGCCGCGGUAAAACGAGAAGGGCAAGUGUUAUUCAAAUUUAUUGGGCGUAAAGAAUUAUUAGGUUGUAAAUUAAUAAAAUUUUUUUAAUUCAAAUAUAAAAAUUUAUUUUAUAAAUAAUUGUUAAACAAAUUUACUUGAGUUUAAAAAAAAGAUUUUAGAAUUUUAAGUGUAACAGUAAAAUGUGUUAAUAUUUAAAAGAAUUCUAAAAGUGAAUGCAAAAAUCUAUUUUAAAACUGACACUUUUUAAUUAAAGUAUAGGGAGCAAAAGGGAUUAGAUACCCCUGUAGUCUAUACCCUGAACUAUGAAUGCUAUUAUUUAGAUUAGAAUAAUUAAAAUUAACGUAAAGCAUUUCGCCUGGGAACUACGAUCGCAAGUUUAAAACUCAAAGGAAUUGACGGGAAUUCAAACAAGCAGUGGAGCAUGUGGUUUAAAUCGAUAAUACGCGCGGAACCUUACCAAUUUUUGUUAUUCAGGUGUUGCAUGGCUGUCGUCAGUCCGUGCUUUGCAGUGUUUGGUUUAUUCCAAUAAACGGACGAAACUUUUAUAUGUUAUAAUAAUAUUUACAUAGUUUAAUAAGGACAUCUUAUUAAAAUGAAAACGAUGACAAGUCUUCAUGACCCUUAUAAAUUGGGCUACUUUCAUGUGCUACAAUAUUCUUUACAAUAUAAAUAUAAAAAAGCCAUUUUGUAAAAUUAAAUGAGAAUAAAGCAAAUUGUUUUCUGAAACUUGAAGGCAUGAAGUUGGAAUUGCUAGUAAUCGUUUAUAAGAAUGUUACGGUGAAUUUGUUCUUGAAUUUUGUACAUACCGCCCGUCACACUAUGGAAAUCAAUUUUACUUAAAAAAAAUAGUUUAAAUAUUUUUUAGAGUAAAAUAAGGACUAGAGUGAAGUCGUAACAAGGUAGCCGUAGGGGAACCUGUGGCUGGAAUAUAAAAAUA